Molecule: non-coding RNA, 961 nt
Organism: Oryctolagus cuniculus (rabbit)
Lineage: Eukaryota; Metazoa; Chordata; Mammalia; Lagomorpha; Leporidae
Source: RefSeq, a predicted model, not a curated record
AUUGUUAAAUCAACAAUGGGAGUCACUGGGUUCAUGCUCCCCACGUAGGAUCUCUGUCCUUAAUGUGUUUUACUAUGAAACUUAAAAACAACACUACUAGUUGAACAAUACCCUAUACCUUGUACAGUUGUGUGAGUACAGCCUGUUGAAAUCCUUGCUUAGUAUAUACUAAGUUGAUCUUCAGUAUAUGAAGAUACUCACACAUCAAUAAAAGAAAUUCUGGAACAAAUGAUCUUAGAAAAGAUGUGACCAAUUCAAUCUACUAUCCCGUUUCUCUUCAUGAUACCCCUGGAUUUUCAACCGAAAUGAAAAGGCAAGUUUCAGGUACAUAUUAAGAAGGAAGAAUAACAUUAUCUUACCUAAGGAGAACUGAAGUUAUCCAGUGUUUGGAUGACAAAAUCAAGAAAAACUCCCAACAGAGAGCCUUCCUGUACUUCUGUGGUGAGAUGGUAUCACUAGUUCCUGUUGAUUGAUACCUUUGCUCUGAGAUCCUGUCGAUUUGGUCUCUGAUAUGAAACUAGCAUUUUCUUUGAAUUUCUCCCCAAGUGUAAAUUUGAGAUAAGACUAUGUACCUAUAGAUACAUAUGUAUCAUGUAGAGUUUUGGGAGGAUUCGAUGUGAUAGAUAGGUAAUCACUAAUCGAGUUCCUUAAAUGAAAGAAGCAUUAAUAAAGGGAGAUAUUCUGCUGGAUGGUGCAGCUGUUAAGACACUGCCUGGGAUGUCUGCAUCUUAUCAGAGUGCCUGUGUUUGUGUCCUACCUCUGCUGCUGAUUCCAGCUUCCUGUUAAUAUAUAUCCCAGGAAACAGCAGAUGGUGACUGGAGUACUUGGGUCCCUGCCAUCCAUGUGAGAGAUCCCGAUUGAGUUCAGGGCUCCUGGCUUCUGCCUGGUAUAGCCCUGGCUGUUAAGGACAUCUAGGGAGUGAACCAGUGGAUGGAAGCUCAGAUCUAUCUCUCCAUUUCUC